Calidris pugnax (ruff) is the source of this 530-nucleotide long non-coding RNA. RefSeq lists it as uncharacterized. NCBI's taxonomy places the organism in Eukaryota, Metazoa, Chordata, Aves, Charadriiformes, Scolopacidae. The record is from RefSeq and is a predicted model, not a curated record. The transcript has 4 exons.
GGCUACUGAUCUUCUCAUGCGAGAAGAGAACUUGGGAUCUGGCCACAGGACCUUGUGCUGCCAGUGGUGGUGUGGCUUUCUGGCUUGUUCAGUCCUCAGUCCUUGCUGACAGAGUUAAGCACAAGUUUAAAUAAAAAGAUAAAAAAAUCAGCUAAAUACCAGAAUAACCAUCUCCUGGAAGCAAGAGGAACAAUCCAAACUCAUCUCCAGUUUCCUCAGAAGCAUGAAGACAAAGCAGUUGUAAUGCAGAGUAUGGCACGCAAGAACAACUGGCCUUUGGAUAAGGUGGGCUUGACUGAAGAUGUUACCAAAAAGACCAAAGAAGAUUAUGGCCACCCACAAAGGGAAGGAGCGUGUAUCUUUCAUGGAAGAUAACACGUUUUUCUUCAGCAUGAAGAAAGAACACCACAGUACAUCAGAAACACUCCUGCUAGAACAUGAGGUUUACACAGAAGAGACAGAGAAAAAGAAGUCAACAUAAACAUUCACACAUAAGUGACUGCCUUUACCAGAACUCCUUUCUUGUUCAC